UACAGAGGUCCCAAGCGUUGUUCGGAUUCACUGGGCGUAAAGGGUGCGUAGGUGGUUAGGUAAGUCCGAUGUGAAAUCUCCAGGCUCAACCUGGAAAUGGCAUUGGAUACUAUUUAGCUUGAGGAGUGGAGGGGGGACUGGAAUUCUCGGUGUAGCAGUGAAAUGCGUAGAUAUCGAGAGGAACACCAGUGGCGAAGGCGAGUCCCUGGACACUUCCUGACGCUGAGGCGCGAAAGCUAGGGGAGCAAACGGG
Molecule: ribosomal RNA, 253 nt
Filed under: uncultured bacterium
Lineage: Bacteria
Description: partial 16S ribosomal RNA
Rfam family: Bacterial small subunit ribosomal RNA
Source: RNAcentral